This is a non-coding RNA of Argentina anserina (silverweed cinquefoil), 72 nucleotides long. NCBI's taxonomy places the organism in Eukaryota, Viridiplantae, Streptophyta, Magnoliopsida, Rosales, Rosaceae. The record is from the annotation of a RefSeq genome assembly.
GUCGUCUUAGCUCAGCCGGUAGAGCACACGGCUUUUACCUGUGUGUCAUGGGUUCGAUUCCCACAUACGGCA